This 254-nucleotide ribosomal RNA is filed under the name uncultured soil bacterium. RNAcentral's name for it is "partial 16S ribosomal RNA". It matches the Rfam family "Bacterial small subunit ribosomal RNA", at positions 27 to 285 of the family's 1533-position model. The record is from RNAcentral.
GGGACGAACGCUGGCGGCGUGCUUAACACAUGCAAGUCGAGCGGUAAGGCCUUUCGGGGUACACGAGCGGCGAACGGGUGAGUAACACGUGGGUGAUCUGCCCUGCACUCUGGGAUAAGCCUGGGAAACUGGGUCUAAUACCGGAUAUGACCUGCUCUCGCAUGGGGGUGGGUGGAAAGAUUUAUCGGUGCAGGAUGGGCCCGCGGCCUAUCAGCUUGUGGGUGGGUAAUGGCCUACCAAGGCGACGACGGGUA